This 475-nucleotide ribosomal RNA is filed under the name uncultured organism. RNAcentral describes it as "partial 16S ribosomal RNA". It matches the Rfam family "Bacterial small subunit ribosomal RNA", at positions 335 to 801 of the family's 1533-position model. The record is from RNAcentral.
ACUCCUGCGGGAGGCAGCAGUGGGGAAUUUUGGACAAUGGGCGAAAGCCUGAUCCAGCAAUGCCGCGUGAGUGAAGAAGGCCUUCGGGUUGUAAAGCUCUUUUGUCAGAGAAGAAACGGUGAAAGCUAAUAUCUUUUGCUAAUGACGGUACCUGAAGAAUAAGCACCGGCUAACUACGUGCCAGCAGCCGCGGUAAUACGUAGGGUGCAAGCGUUAAUCGGAAUUACUGGGCGUAAAGCGUGCGCAGGCGGUUUUGUAAGUCUGAUGUGAAAUCCCCGGGCUCAACCUGGGAAUUGCAUUGGAGACUGCAAGGCUAGAAUCCGGCAGAGGGGGGUAGAAUUCCACGUGUAGCAGUGAAAUGCGUAGAUAUGUGGAGGAACACCGAUGGCGAAGGCAGCCCCCUGGGUCAAGAUUGACGCUCAUGCACGAAAGCGUGGGGAGCAAACAGGAUUAGAUACCCGAGUAGUCCCAUGAU